This is a long non-coding RNA of Ananas comosus (pineapple), 315 nucleotides long. RefSeq lists it as uncharacterized. The record is from RefSeq and is a predicted model, not a curated record. The transcript has 2 exons. NCBI's taxonomy places the organism in Eukaryota, Viridiplantae, Streptophyta, Magnoliopsida, Poales, Bromeliaceae.
AUUACAGGUGAUGUCGCUGGUCCUAGUGGGAUGGUUCGUGAGGAGCACGCCUAGUGGUCGACAGAGCCACCGUCCCGUUGUCGAGCCUUCGGCACCGGCGGAGGCACGGGAUCGCAGCAAGGGUGUCGCCUAGCUUGAUAGAUAGCAGAGCUCGCUUUUACUCCUAGGUGGUUACUCUCUUUUUGUGUUUUUGUGAGAGAGAUUUUGUACCAUGUAUAAAGACCACCUAUGUACCUUGUUUAGCUCUUGAUUUUUGGACUCCUAUUGUAUUACUUUAUGUUUUUACAUAGUGGAUUUAGCCUUAUGUUCCUUUCC